UCGAGAAUUUUUCUCAAUGGGGGAAACCCUGAAGGAGCGACGCCGCGUGGAGGAUGAAGGUCUUCGGAUUGUAAACUCCUGUCAUUAGAGAACAAGACCCACUUAGUAACUGAUGUUGGGUUCGAUAGUAUCUGAAGAGGAAGAGACGGCUAACUCUGUGCCAGCAGCCGCGGUAAUACAGAGGUCUCAAGCGUUGUUCGGAUUCAUUGGGCGUAAAGGGUGCGCAGGCGGCGAGGCAAGUCGGACGUGAAAUCCCGGGGCUUAACCCCGGAACUGCGUUCGAUACUGCCUUGCUCGAGGACUGGAGAGGAGACUGGAAUUCCUGGUGUAGCAGUGAAAUGCGUAGAUAUCAGGAGGAACGCCAAUGGCGAAGGCAAGUCUCUGGACAGUUCCUGACGCUCAUGCACGAAGGCCAGGGGAGCAAACGG
RNAcentral lists this ribosomal RNA (428 nucleotides) under uncultured bacterium. RNAcentral's name for it is "bacterial SSU rRNA". It matches the Rfam family "Bacterial small subunit ribosomal RNA", at positions 355 to 775 of the family's 1533-position model. The record is from RNAcentral.